CAGUAGCCACGGUAAAACGUAGGUGGCAAGCGUUGUCCGGAAUUAUUGGGCGUAAAGGGCUCGCAGGCGGUUUCUUAAGUCUGAUGUGAAAGCCCCCGGCUCAACCGGGGAGGGUCAUUGGAAACUGGGAAACUUGAGUGCAGAAGAGGAGAGUGGAAUUCCACGUGUAGCGGUGAAAUGCGUAGAGAUGUGGAGGAACACCAGUGGCGAAGGCGACUCUCUGGUCUGUAACUGACGCUGAGGAGCGAAAGCGUGGGGAGCGAACAGGAUUAGAUACCCCGUAGUCCCUGUCUCUUAUACA
This 301-nucleotide ribosomal RNA is filed under the name uncultured bacterium. RNAcentral describes it as "partial 16S ribosomal RNA". It matches the Rfam family "Bacterial small subunit ribosomal RNA", at positions 509 to 808 of the family's 1533-position model. The record is from RNAcentral.